This 495-nucleotide ribosomal RNA is filed under the name uncultured bacterium. RNAcentral describes it as "partial 16S ribosomal RNA". It matches the Rfam family "Bacterial small subunit ribosomal RNA", at positions 29 to 507 of the family's 1533-position model. The record is from RNAcentral.
AUGAACGCUGGCGGCGUGCCUAAUACAUGCAAGUCGAGCGAACAGACGAGGAGCUUGCUCCUCUGACGUUAGCGGCGGACGGGUGAGUAACACGUGGAUAACCUACCUAUAAGACUGGGAUAACUUCGGGAAACCGGAGCUAAUACCGGAUAAUAUAUUGAACCGCAUGGUUCAAUAGUGAAAGACGGUUUUGCUGUCACUUAUAGAUGGAUCCGCGCCGCAUUAGCUAGUUGGUAGGUAACGGCUUACCAAGGCAACGAUGCGUAGCCGACCUGAGAGGGUGAUAGGCCACACUGGAUCUGAGACACGGUCCAGACUCCUACGGGAGGCAGCAGUAGGGAAUCUUCCGCAAUGGGCGAAAGCUUGACGGAGCAACGCCGCGUGAGUGAUGAAGGUCUUCGGAUCGUAAAACUCUGUUAUUAGGGAAGAACAAAUGUGUAAGUAACUAUGCACGUCUUGACGGUACCUAAUCAGAAAGCCACGGCUAACUACGUG